UGGAAGAAGAAGAAACAGAGGAGGGAGAGAAGUUUGGGUAUUUUGGGAAUGAUUUCCCAAAGAAAAAAAAGUGAUGAUAAGAAGGGAGUCGCCGAAGGAAGAGAAGGAAGGAAUGGGAGCCCGCUGCCACUGCUGCUAUCGUCCACGACUCCAUGGAAGGCUGAUCUUCUCUCCAGGGCCGGAUGCAGCCCUAACAAAGGGAUACGGGUUUUAUGUAUUUAAUUUUAUAUUCUUGGAGUUAUAUGAACUUAUUGUUUUUUAAUGGAUAUCCUCUUUUAUCUCAUAUUUAAUUUCUGUGAUUUUAAAUAUGACGUUUAUACAACUGUUCUUCAUGAUCACUAAGUUAAUAGAAGAUCACCCAUGCUUAGGGAAGAUGCAGUAUCCUGCCACAUUAGUUUAGGGUAGACAUUUCAUGCCAACCGAAGAUGGAUGUUCCUAAAUUACUUCUGUGAGAUUUUUAUUUGAAUGCUUAUUAAGCUUGUAGUCAAUUUGCAUGUUAAUCCAAGAAUCAAUUAAAAUAUAAUUAACCCUUGUUCCGAUGUUAGUGGUGAAUUUCUUGCCCUAGGUUUCUCCCAAACUGAUAUUAUUUUAAUUGCAUUUCUUGUU
This 606-nucleotide long non-coding RNA is filed under the name Phoenix dactylifera (date palm). Its description in RNAcentral is "long non-coding RNA (PDAC_LNC006559)". The record is from RNAcentral. Lineage: Eukaryota; Viridiplantae; Streptophyta; Magnoliopsida; Arecales; Arecaceae.